RNAcentral lists this ribosomal RNA (374 nucleotides) under uncultured organism. RNAcentral describes it as "bacterial SSU rRNA". It matches the Rfam family "Bacterial small subunit ribosomal RNA", at positions 526 to 896 of the family's 1533-position model. The record is from RNAcentral.
CGGGGGGAGCAAGCGUUGUUCGGAUUUACUGGGCGUAAAGGGCGCGUAGGCGGCCACCGCAAGUCGACUGUGAAAUCUCCGGGCUUAACCCGGAAAGGUCAGCCGAUACUGCGGGGCUAGAGUGCGGAAGGGGCAACUGGAAUUCUCGGUGUAGCGGUGAAAUGCGUAGAUAUCGAGAGGAACACCUGCGGCGAAGGCGGGUUGCUGGGCUGACACUGACGCUGAGGCGCGAAAGCUAGGGGAGCGAACGGGAUUAGAUACCCCGGUAGUCCUAGCCUUAAACGAUGAAUGCUUGGUGUCUGGGGUUUUAUAGUCCCCGGGUGCCGUCGCUAACGCUUUAAGCAUUCCGCCUGGGGAGUACGGUCGCAAGACUG